Molecule: ribosomal RNA, 967 nt
Filed under: uncultured bacterium
Lineage: Bacteria
Description: bacterial SSU rRNA
Rfam family: Bacterial small subunit ribosomal RNA
Source: RNAcentral
CAAUGGCAAUAGUGGCGCACGGGUGCGUAACGCGUAACCAACCUACCCGAAUCUGGGGGAUAGCCCGCCGAAAGGCGGAUUAAUACCGCAUAAGACUAUAGACUGGCAUCGGUUAGUAGUUAAAGAUUUAUUGGAUUCGGAUGGGGUUGCGUGCCAUUAGCUAGUUGGGGAGGUAACGGCUCACCAAGGCGACGAUGGCUAGGGGAGCUGAGAGGCUGGUCCCCCACACGGGCACUGAGAUACGGGCCCGACUCCUACGGGAGGCAGCAGUAGGGAAUAUUGGGCAAUGGCCGAGAGGCUGACCCAGCCAUGCCGCGUGCAGGAUGAAGGCUUUCUGAGUCGUAAACUGCUUUUGCCAGGGAAGAAUAAGGUCCAUGCGUGGUCCGACGACGGUACCUGGUGAAUAAGCACCGGCUAACUCCGUGCCAGCAGCCGCGGUAAUACGGAGGGUGCAAGCGUUGUCCGGAUUUAUUGGGUUUAAAGGGUGCGUAGGCGGCCGUUUAAGUCCGGGGUGAAAGCCCGUUGCUCAACAACGGAACUGCCCUGGAAACUGGAUGGCUUGAGUACAGACGAGGGUGGCGGAAUGGAGGGUGUAGCGGUGAAAUGCAUAGAUACCCUCCAGAACCCCGAUUGCGAAGGCAGCUGCCUAGACUGUAACUGACGCUGAGGCACGAAAGCGUGGGGAGCGAACAGGAUUAGAUACCCUGGUAGUCCACGCCGUAAACGAUGGAUACUCGCUGCCGGCGAUACAAUGUCGGUGGCUUAGCGAAAGCGUUAAGUAUCCCACCUGGGGAGUACGCUCGCAAGAGUGAAACUCAAAAGAAUUGACGGGGGCCCGCACAAGUGGUGGAGCAUGUGGUUUAAUUCGAUGAUACGCGAGGAACCUUACCUAGGCUAGAAUGCGCGUGACCGGUUCAGAGAUGAGCCUUUCCUUCGGGACACAAAGCAAGGCGCUGCAUGGCCGUCG